UACACUUUGACGUCAAGAUACAGUGCAGC
This 29-nucleotide non-coding RNA is filed under the name Bombyx mori (domestic silkworm). Lineage: Eukaryota; Metazoa; Arthropoda; Insecta; Lepidoptera; Bombycidae. The record is from RNAcentral.